GCAGCCCGGAGGGAAGAUGUGCCAAACUGCGCCGCUUCAGCUGGACGCGGCGCGCAUCCCAGGGACACAGACGCCGCUCUGACUGGAUCAGGUUGAAGCAAGUCCAGCCAACCCCCUUCUGUCUGCGCUCACGUCAAGUGGAGUCUUCUCGGCAUCAAACCAGCUUUAUAGUCUCCAGCUUCAGCUUGUGCCCCAUGUCAGCACUACACGCAGGAGGAGAGGACAUCAGUUCUUCUCAACUCAUCAGAUUUCUUCUAAAAACAACAAUGUUUUGAGGACAUAUUACAAGAUGAAGGCAAACCUCUGCUUUUAUUCCAACCAUGAAUCAUAAAGGUCCAAGCAGAGGUGGUUUAUUGCAACAUCCAUGAAGACAUCCAUUAAGGCUGCAGUCUGACAAGAUUUGAACCUGCAGCUUCAUUACCUGCAGAUGACCUGCAUGCAGCUGUCCUCAAGCUGCCAAACAUUGACUUCAUAAUGAGACCAAACUACUAUCUAAAAGAAGCUGCUAGAUCAGAGGUGGGCAACGACCUGGGGGCCACAAACCGGAUUUUAUUGAUAAUACCUAUUAGUGUUUUGUUUUCCCUGAAAUUCUGGUGUCUCCUCAUAAAUGGUGCACUAGCAGUACAUUGACAUUUGUCCAGGUGCAGAAAAUUAUUUUGCAUUCUUGUGGUGUUAAAAGAUUUUUGUGUGUGUUUUCUGAGUUGGACAGUCAUUUUCCGAUCAUUUCAACACCAUGAACGCAGCAUGUUAUGCAUCUUUUUCCUUCAGGGUACAUCAACCCAUUGGUGCAAUUGGCACCAAAAGGAGAACAAAAGUCACCGUUUUGAAAGAAAGACUCCAAAAUGUUCUGUUUUAUGUCAGAAUUAAAGCAUGCUUUUGUCCAGAUUCCAUUGAGAUGGAGGACCAAAGCACUCCUGUCAAAUUUUGGAAGCCUUUGUGGCCAACAAGUCAAAAAGUUUGCACACCCCUGUGCUAGAUGAAAAUCAAAGAUUAGCACCUUCACACUCACAGAGAAGUGUCUAGUUUGGCUUUGUCCCAGUGGUUAGACCUUCUCGGGACAGACCGAGUCCACCUGCUCACAAUCAACACGUGGAAAGUCCUGGGCUGGUUAGGAAGGGUCUGGGCUGGAAAAUGAUGUGUCAGAGUUUUUUGUUUGAGGGCACCCUCUCAGUUUUACGGGGCCACUCAGAGCACACGCUGUGGUGCCAAGCAGGAAGUAGAGCAGUUGAGGUUUGAUGUAAAUCCCUGCAGUCAGGAGCAGCUGAAAAUAAUUUUGACCGCUUAGGAGAAGAAGGGGGGGUUCAGCUGCACUGAGAGGAUUUUUUUUCCUUCCCCCUCACUGUUCAGUUCUGGAGCAAGUUAUACCAUCCUGCCUUCACUAUUUCCUUCCUGAACGGAUGCAUUACCUAUUGUCAGUUACCAGUCGUAUAAGGGUUCAUUAACCAUCACAACACCCCAGUUUUUUUUUCUUCUUUUCGUUAAGGACACACAAUAACUCCCCUCCUGUGUUUGGUCAUAAACAUGUCGUAGGAAGGGGCCUACCUAACCUUUGUCCUCUACCACGCAGACCAGCCCCUUUUAGACUCCAUAAUAUGGUAAUAACAGACAUUUUAAAAUCUUGUAAAAGGGUGGAGUUUGGGGGAAAGGAAAACUAAAGAAAAAAUUGUAUUUUUAAGUCAGGGGUUGAUUGCUUUGAUAAUUAAUCACCUUUAUAAAACAAAGUUUAGUCUAGAAGAACUGCUUUUUCCCCCAAAAACAGUGCUAAGAGUUUUUAUUUCUGUUCAUGAAGUCACUCUUACACCAGCUGCCAAAACCUAGUUCGCCAUGCUGACCUCAGAAACCUCAAUUAGUCAGUCUGGUCAUUCAAAUAUAAAAUAUAAAAAUAGAAUGGAAAACUUUCAAUAUUUCACUAUUUGCAGACUCCUUUUCUAGCUUGUGAAUGGUUUAUAAAGUAAUUUUCUAAUUAUGUUCACAGUUCCAGUACUAUUUAAUGUACCUGAGCAGAAAUUAAACUUUUAACCAAAAGA
This is a long non-coding RNA of Oryzias latipes (Japanese medaka), 2027 nucleotides long. RefSeq lists it as uncharacterized. The record is from RefSeq and is a predicted model, not a curated record. Lineage: Eukaryota; Metazoa; Chordata; Actinopteri; Beloniformes; Adrianichthyidae.